RNAcentral lists this ribosomal RNA (105 nucleotides) under Hyphomonadaceae bacterium. Its description in RNAcentral is "partial 16S ribosomal RNA". It matches the Rfam family "Bacterial small subunit ribosomal RNA", at positions 1 to 122 of the family's 1533-position model. The record is from RNAcentral. Lineage: Bacteria; Pseudomonadati; Pseudomonadota; Alphaproteobacteria; Hyphomonadales; Hyphomonadaceae.
CACUCAACCUGAGAGUUUGAUUCUGGCUCAGAACGAACGCUGGCGGCAGGCUUAACACAUGCAAGUCGAACGACAUAGUGGCAGACGGGUGAGUAACGCGUGGGA